UGGGGAAUUUUGGACAAUGGGGGAAACCCUGAUCCAGCCAUCCCGCGUGUGCGAUGAAGGCCUUCGGGUUGUAAAGCACUUUUGGCAGGAAGAAACGUCGCGGGUUAAUACCCCGCGAAACUGACGGUACCUGCAGAAUAAGCACCGGCUAACUACGUGCCAGCAGCCGCGGUAAUACGUAGGGUGCAAGCGUUAAUCGGAAUUACUGGGCGUAAAGCGUGCGCAGGCGGUUCGGAAAGAAAGAUGUGAAAUCCCAGAGCUUAACUUUGGAACUGCAUUUUUAAACUACCGGGCUAGAGUGUGUCAGAGGGAGGUGGAAUUCCGCGUGUAGCAGUGAAAUGCGUAGAUAUGCGGAGGAACACCGAUGGCGAAGGCAGCCUCCUGGGAUAACACUGACGCUCAUGCACGAAAGCGUGGGGAGCAAACAGGAUUAGAUACCCUGGUAGU
RNAcentral lists this ribosomal RNA (447 nucleotides) under uncultured bacterium. RNAcentral's name for it is "partial 16S ribosomal RNA". It matches the Rfam family "Bacterial small subunit ribosomal RNA", at positions 355 to 794 of the family's 1533-position model. The record is from RNAcentral.